RNAcentral lists this long non-coding RNA (1452 nucleotides) under Ananas comosus (pineapple). RNAcentral describes it as "long non-coding RNA (ACOM_LNC042608)". Lineage: Eukaryota; Viridiplantae; Streptophyta; Magnoliopsida; Poales; Bromeliaceae. The record is from RNAcentral.
AAAAAAAAAAAAACCUUUUCAGAGAAGCUUCGCGCUUCGCCUCGCCAUGUCGCCCGAAAGGCAAAAAAAAAAAAAAAAAAAAAAAAAAAAACCUUUCUGAAAAGAUCGCUCCCCUCCCACCCCGAGUCCCCGACCCCAAAAGAAGGGUUUGCCCUAACUUCUCACUCCUGCGGCGGUCGCGGUUCUUCCCCUCCCCCUCUUCUGUCAUGGUGCGACCAUGACGGCGAGCAGAGGAGCAGUAGAUAGAAGGUAAAGGAGUAGAGUGAGACAAUGGAGGAUCCAUGGUAGGAGGAAGCAAGGCGGCGGUGUGAUCUAUGGGAGAGAUAGGCUAACGGGUAGUGGGCUCGCACUCCCUCACUGUAGCGUCACCAAGCCCGACUCCGCACCUUGAUUCGGCUUUCGGGCGACGGGUCCGCGCUCUCUCACAGCUGCAUUGUCGGACCCGACUCCGCUUUCUUGGAGGGAGGCGUAUUGAAGCCACAGGAGUUGAUGCAAUUAGUACUAAUACAAUUACUACCAUACCCCUGCCAUUAUAACUCUUACAUUUUGGCCCUCUAGAUGGAAGCAGUAUAUGUAAUGAACUCACUUCUGUAAUAGACAAGCAAGAGAUAAAUAAAAUCCCAAUUUCCCAAAUCCCAAGUCUGGAUGGAAGCAUAAAUCUUGAGAGAAAAAAACUUAAUUUAAUAGCCGAAUUUUUGAUCCCGAAUUUUUGAUUGGUAAACGUAUAAUAUUCGUAUAAAUCACGUAUCCGAAUAAUUGACGAAUCCGUUUUUUUACCGUUUUUUUCAACGAAUUUAAAAAUUAGAAGACGAAUUUUAUCCGAAUUAUAUCCGUACCGAAUUUUUACCGAAUCCGAAUUAACUAACUAUACCCGAAGUGUAACAAAGUCUAUGCAUACAUAUCCAAUAAGAGAUGUUAGCAUUCAACAUUGAGAGAGGCAAUCACAGAUACAAGAGAAUUUAAACUAUCCAUUACAUCACUUGUUCACACACAAGAAACAUUACAUAUUUCACUUGACUUCUCAUACAUAUAACCAAAAUGCCAUCCCUCAAAUACAUUACAUUUCUUCACAAAAGGGUUUUACAUAUCAUUCUUUCCUUUUUAUACUUGAGGGUAGUGAGCUAAUGCCGGUGGUCCACUCUAUCUACUGUGCGACGCCCUUGCCGCGAUCCUCGACACACGCGCUCGAACUAGGCUCUGCAAAACAGGGUGUGAGAACUAUUAUCCAUAGUUCCCAGUGGGUUCGGCCGCCGACCCCGCCGAUUUUCCCACUAGGUCCAAGAAAGGCAUAGAAACAAUAAAGAGGUCAACAUGUCAAAGGAAUAAUAGAUAUAACAAUAAGCCUACCUUGCUCAUCCACAUCUAUAUCAUGCUCAAAUGUGUAGCUAUGCCUUUACCAAUGAUGCAAUCAUGUCAACAAGUAUAUGUUUAAGUUCUGUCAUGUAUGCAANN